GAUGAACGCUGGCGGCGUGCUUAACACAUGCAAGUCGAACGGAACUACUCCAAUGAGAGUCUUCGGAAAGGAUUUGGUUUAGUUUAGUGGCGGACGGGUGAGUAACGCGUGGGUAACCUGCCCUAUACAGGGGGAUAACAGUUGGAAACGACUGUUAAUACCGCAUAAGCGCACAGGAGCGCAUGCUCCGGUGUGAAAAACUCCGGUGGUAUAGGAUGGACCCGCGUCUGAUUAGCUGGUUGGCGGGGUAACGGCCCACCAAGGCGACGAUCAGUAGCCGGCCUGAGAGCGUGAACCGCCACAUUGGGACUGAGACACGGCCCAAACACCUACGGGAGGCAGCAGAGGGGAAUAUUGCACAAGGGGGGAAACCCUGAUGCAGCGACGCCGCGUGAGCGAAGAAGUAUCUCGGUAUGUAAAGCUCUAUCAGCAGGGAAGAAAAUGACGGUACCUGACUAAGAAGCCCCGGCUAACUACGUG
RNAcentral lists this ribosomal RNA (480 nucleotides) under uncultured bacterium. Its description in RNAcentral is "partial 16S ribosomal RNA". It matches the Rfam family "Bacterial small subunit ribosomal RNA", at positions 28 to 507 of the family's 1533-position model. The record is from RNAcentral.